This 3010-nucleotide long non-coding RNA is filed under the name Marmota monax (woodchuck). The record is from RNAcentral. Lineage: Eukaryota; Metazoa; Chordata; Mammalia; Rodentia; Sciuridae.
CCGCCCGCACCCUAAGAGGAUCGGGGAGCUGGGCGCAGUGGUCAGGCCUGGAAUCCCAGCAGUCGGGAGGCUGAGGCAGGAGGAUCCCAAGGUCAAAGUCGGCCUCAGCAAAAGUGAGGCCCUAAGCCACUCAGCGAGACUCUGUACCUUAAUAAAACACAAAACAGGGCUGGGGUGUGGCUCCGUGGUGGCCCCUGGGUGCCAUCCCUGGUACCAAGGAAAAAAGGAGCGGGGAAGGGGGGAGGGGACUGGUCCGUGCUCCCGCAGGAACCUGGUGACAGUUUCUCACGGCGUCACAGAAGUGGACGCUGAGGCUGGAAGACGUGAAGUCGCUCAUCUGCUGUCCCGAAGCCAGACCCCCAAGCCCCGCCCUGCCCCAUGCGCCACAGACAGGGACACCGACCGAGGCAUAGAGCAGCACUGUCCCUCCCCAGGGCUCCCCGGGGACAAAGUCCUUGCCCCACCGGCCCCACCUGCCCCUCCCUCUCGCAGCGUCACUCGGGGACUUUCUCACGGGGAGGAAACAGUGAGGCUGGGUUUCGAUUUACUGCCCCCUGCGGCCCUGGGGAGGUUUUCUCCGCCAGCACCUGGAGUGGCGUCUGUCACCGGGGAGACGGAAAACCUGCGGGCUCCAGGGAGGGAGGCGCUCAGGGGUCGGGGACCCUGACCCUGGGUGGCCCAUCCAGUUGACAGCCGAUGCUUACGUGAUGCUGUUCUGCGUUCACAUAUUUUGCUUUCCUCCCGGUGAGCAUGUAGUAAGUGCUCAUCUAGCCAUUUCCACCCCCAGCGGGCCAGCUGUUGACCCCUGGACCUCACCUCAGACUUCUGCGCUCCCGAACACGGAGAAAAGAAAGCUCUGUGGUUUAGGCCAUCUGGGUGUGCUGACUGCAUCCUGACCCCCAGCUCAGGCUGAGGACCUCCUACCCCUGGCUUUCCUUCUCCAGGACCCUCUGGUUCCUUUGUGUUCUCCUGAUGCAUUGUGAGAUUGACUGAUUGAUUGAUUGAUUGAUUUUUGGUACCAGGGAUUAAACCCAGGGGCACUGGACCAUUGAGCCCCAUUCCUAGCUUUUUUUUUUUUUUGUAUUUUAUUUAGAGACAGUUGCUUAGCACCUUGCUUUUGCUGAGGCUGGCCUUGAACUCGUGAUCCUCCUGCCUCAGCCUCCUGAGCCGCUGGGCUGACAGGCAAGCAUCACCACACCUGGCAGGAAUUCUUUAUGUAUGUUUUGGACUCCUUCACGAGUUCAGCUCAGAUGCUCUUGGAUUUACUGUGGGGCUAGGUUCUGGUCCACCCACUGUAAGUUAAAAAUAUCAUAAAUUGAAAAUAUAUCGUGUCCACCUGACCUGCCAAACAUCCUGGCUCAGCCACAGUGCCCUGCAUGGUGUCCAGUUUCUCUCCUCGUGACCUUGAGGUUGCCUGGGAGCUGUAGGUAACUGCUGGUGCCCAACAUCUCAAGAGAGGAUUGUGCCCUCCAUUGCUCGCCCAGAGAAAGAUCGAGCUUAAAAAUUCAAAGUAGAAUUGCUACUGGAUGCAGACUCCUUUUUGCACCAUUGUACAAUCUGAGGACCAUAAGUAUAUUGCAAAUAUCUUUCUCUAGUUUGCAGCUUAUUUUUUCAUUUUCUGCAAAGUGCUUUUUGGUGAACAAUAAGUCCUACUCCUCAGGUAUGCACAUUGAAUUUCAAAUUUUUUUUCAUGCUAGGAUUGAACACAGGGUCACUUUACCACUAGCUCAUCUUCAACUCAUUUUAAUUUUUUAUUUUGAGACAGGGUCUUGCUAAGAUGCUGAGGCUUGCCUCAAACUUGCAAUCCUCCUGCCUAGGCCUCCUAAGUCUUUGGGAUUAUAGGCGUGUGCCACUGUGCCUGUGUGACUAAUCUUUACUUAUUUACACACAAUGCCUGAUGGCUCUUAUUUGGGAAAGUUAUUAUUUUUAUUUCUUACCUCAAGUUUGCUUAUAUUUUCUACCAAGACAUUAAAACUUUAUUUUAUUAUAUUUUUGGAUGGAACCCCCUUAAGCCACAUGGAGUUGGAUUUGGUGUGUGGUGCAAAGUAGGGAAUCAAUGUCAUUGUUUCCCACAAACACUCCCACCUCCCAGAUCCCCUUAUGGAAUAGUCUCUCCUGUCCCCGGCUGGGACAGACUGUGUCCACCUUGCAGCAAAGCUCCUGACUUGCAUAAGGGCUGUCUGUGGGCAUUUAAUUCCCAUCCAUUGGUCAAUGUGCCUCUCCCUCUGGCACUGUCUCUGUGACUUAAUUACAGGGUUUCUAAUUGGUUCUAAUAUGUGGUAGGACCAGUAGGGCCACCCUGUUCUGGAGAAGUGUCCUGGCUACGUGCAACCCUCUGCUCUUCCAGGAAUUUUUUGAAUCCUUUUAUCAAGUUCCAGAGAAAACCCUGUUGUGGUUUUGGUUGGGAUUGUGUUGAAACUACAGAUGGAGAUGACCAAUAUCUUUCUGAACUUGAGCUUUCCUGUCCAUGAGCAUGGUACACCCACCACUCCCUGUCUCCAUGAGCAUGGUACACCCACCGCUCCCUGUCUCCAUGAGCAUGGUACACCCACUGUCUGCAGCCUCAUUGGUCUCUCUCAUCUGCACGCGCUCUCUCUUUCUUUUCUCCCUCUUUCUCUGGAAGAGAUUUUAAGUCUUUAUGGGGAAGGAUGCCCCCAACCCACCUUCCCUAACUGCAGGGAAUGAGACACACUCGAGCAGGACCAGGAGGGUUGGCAGUGGACAUCCCAGUCCAGCCGGCGCCCUCUGUGGAGCUGGCUGGCCAGGUCCUCCUUCACGGUCUGGUCUCCUCCUGAUGCUGCACCACUGUGUUUGCCAUGAGCACUCAGCCCUCAGCCAUGUGGCCCCGACAGAUGGGUCCUGAGUGGCAGGUGCCAGUCUGAGUUCUGACCCAAAAGACGCAGCCUGAGCCCAGAAGCACCCAUACCUUGGCCUUCCAGCUCCCGGAGAAGACGCCCUCGCCCCUCAUUAAUCUCUCUUUUUAUAAAUAAAAGUUUCACUUUGUUUUUAU